This 1048-nucleotide long non-coding RNA is filed under the name Homo sapiens (human). Its description in RNAcentral is "HSALNT0202574". Lineage: Eukaryota; Metazoa; Chordata; Mammalia; Primates; Hominidae. The record is from RNAcentral.
CUCAGGCAUGCCGGGCUGCAGGUCCCAAGCCCGUCCCGCUGGGAAGAGGCUGAGGCCUGGCAAGAAUUAGAGCGCUGCGCCGGCAGGCCGGAAGUGCUGGCGGACCCAGCGCACCCUCCGCAGCUGCUGGCCCAGGUGCUAAGCUUCUCACUGCCUGGGGCCAGCAUUGUCAGCUGCCUGCUCGGAAUGCGGGGCCAGCCGAGCCCGCACCCACCGGGAACUCGUGCUGGCCAGCGAGCGCCAGCGCGCGGCCCAGGUUCCACCCGCGCCUCUCUCUCCAAACCUCCCGGCAAGCAGAGGGAGCCGGCUCCGGCCUCAGCCAGCCCAGAGAGGGGCUUCCACAGUGCAGCGGUCAGCUGAAGGGCUCCUGAAGAGGGGCCAGAGUGGACACCGCAGCCUGAGGAGGUGCAGAGGGAGCGAGGGCUGCUAGCACGUUGUCACCUCUCAAUAGCAAGACCAAAGCUUACAGAUGUCCAUUAUGUAAAUAGGUACUCUAACUUAUGUAGUGGGACCUACGUGCACUCUGAAGAACUACAACUGUCCUCUUGAUGUCCCUAACUAUCUAUAGUUCCUGGUUAUAGGUGUUCACCAGGAGCUGCCUGCUCAUGCUCAGACAACAGGAGGUCUCACAACACUGUCAAAUCAUCUACAAUUGCUAGAACUGCUGCAUUGUCUUCAAGAUUGUUCACCUCUAGGAGCAACUUCAUAAAGCAACAGCCUGAGCAUUGCCAAAUCACAGGAGCAAUGAAUAGAGUUAUCCGGGCCACUCACAAUGAGAAAUGUGAUGGAAGAACUGAGGAAUGAAGCACAUUUAAAACAUACUUUCAACUUUCAGGAGACAUCAACACAGAGAAAAAGUUCAGAAUAAACUGGGUGGAUAUGAGAAGGUAUCUUUUGAGAACAUAAAUACGUUUUACUUUCCGUUAAUCCUUUCUGCCUUAAUUUUUGUGGUUCAUAAAGUGAACUAUUAUGUUCAGAGUUUGUAAAAUGAGUGAUCUGAAAAGAAACUUAAAGAAUUCUCACUCAAACCCCAAGUUUAUGGUAGAUC